Molecule: ribosomal RNA, 441 nt
Filed under: uncultured bacterium
Lineage: Bacteria
Description: partial 16S ribosomal RNA
Rfam family: Bacterial small subunit ribosomal RNA
Source: RNAcentral
CCCACGGGUGGCAGCAGUGGGGGAUAUUGCACAAUGGUGGGGACCCUGAUGCAGCGACGCCGCGUGGAUGAAGGAGUGCUUCGGCAUGUAAAGCCCUAUCGGCAGGGAAGAAGCAAGACGGUACCGUACUGAGAAGCCCCGGCUAACUACGUGCCAGCAGCCGCGGUAAUACGUAGGGGGCGAGCGUUAUCCGGAUUCACUGGGUGUAAAGGGAGCGUAGACGGCCAUGCAAGCCAGGGGUGAAAGGCCGGGGCCCAACCCCGGGACUGCCCUUGGAACUGCAUGGCUGGAGUGCGGGAGGGGCAGGCGGAAUUCCUGGUGUAGCGGUGAAAUGCGUAGAUAGCAGGAGGAACACCGGCGGCGAAGGCGGCCUGCUGGACCGCGACUGACGUUGAGGCUCGAAAGCGCGGGGAGCGAACAGGAUUAGAUACCCCUGUAGUC